RNAcentral lists this non-coding RNA (26 nucleotides) under Homo sapiens (human). The record is from RNAcentral. Lineage: Eukaryota; Metazoa; Chordata; Mammalia; Primates; Hominidae.
CACGUUAAGACAGAACAACCUGCUGG